GGUGUAGAUGAGGGUGGCGUAUUUGCAGCGGAGGUCCUCCACGCCGUCAUUCACCACGUCCGCCAGGGCCGCCUCCCGCUGGUCCUUCCCGUACAGCCCGAGGGAGCGGCCCAGGUGGCGCAGGAUGGCGUUGGACUGGUACAGGGUCAGGUCUCCGUCCUGGAACUUGGGGAGCUGC
Molecule: long non-coding RNA, 178 nt
Organism: Phyllostomus discolor (pale spear-nosed bat)
Lineage: Eukaryota; Metazoa; Chordata; Mammalia; Chiroptera; Phyllostomidae
Exons: 3
Source: RefSeq, a predicted model, not a curated record